CCUACGGGAGGCAGCAGUGAGGAAUAUUGGUCAAUGGGCGAGAGCCUGAACCAGCCAAGUCGCGUGAGGGAGUACUGCCCUAUGGGUUGUAAACCUCUUUUGUCGGGGAGCAAAAGCCGGACGUGUCCGGCUGUGAGAGUACCCGAAGAAAAAGCAUCGGCUAACUGCGUGCCAGCAGCCGCGGUAAUACGGGGGAUGCGGGCGUUAUCCGGAUUUAUUGGGGUUAAAGGGUGCGCAGGCGGAUUUUUAAGUCAGCGGUCAAAUCGUGGGGCUCAACCCCAUCCAGCCGUUGAAACUGGGGAUCUAGAGUGUGCGAGAGGUAUGCGGAAUGCGUGGUGUAGCGGUGAAAUGCAUAGAUAUCACGCAGAACCCCGAUUGCGAAGGCAGCAUACCGGUGCACAACUGACGCUCAGGCACGAAAGCGUGGGUAUCGAACAGGAUUAGAUACCCGGGUAGUC
This 458-nucleotide ribosomal RNA is filed under the name uncultured bacterium. RNAcentral describes it as "partial 16S ribosomal RNA". It matches the Rfam family "Bacterial small subunit ribosomal RNA", at positions 338 to 795 of the family's 1533-position model. The record is from RNAcentral.